RNAcentral lists this ribosomal RNA (200 nucleotides) under uncultured bacterium. RNAcentral's name for it is "partial 16S ribosomal RNA". It matches the Rfam family "Bacterial small subunit ribosomal RNA", at positions 28 to 242 of the family's 1533-position model. The record is from RNAcentral.
GAUGAACGCUGGCGGCGUGCCUAAUACAUGCAAGUCGUGCGGUAACAUGCCCUUCGGGGUGAUGACGAGCGGCGGACGGCUGAGUAGCGCGUAGGAACGUGCCCCAAAGUGAGGGAUAAGCUCCAGAAAUGGAGUCUAAUACCGCAUAUGGUCUUCGGAUUAAAGCUUUCGAGCGCUUUGGGAGCGGCCUGCGUACGAUU